RNAcentral lists this unclassified non-coding RNA (553 nucleotides) under Neofusicoccum sp. MF-20(2). RNAcentral's name for it is "partial contains ITS1, 5.8S rRNA and ITS2". The stretch from base 172 to 325 matches the Rfam family "5.8S ribosomal RNA". The record is from RNAcentral. Lineage: Eukaryota; Fungi; Ascomycota; Dothideomycetes; Botryosphaeriales; Botryosphaeriaceae.
CCGNNAGCUCCGGCUCGACUCUCCCACCCAAUGUGUACCUGACCUCUGUUGCUUUGGCGGGCCGCGGUCCUCCGCACCGGCGCCCUUCGGGGGGCUGGCCAGCGCCCGCCAGAGGACCAUAAAACUCCAGUCAGUGAACUUCGCAGUCUGAAAAACAAGUUAAUAAACUAAAACUUUCAACAACGGAUCUCUUGGUUCUGGCAUCGAUGAAGAACGCAGCGAAAUGCGAUAAGUAAUGUGAAUUGCAGAAUUCAGUGAAUCAUCGAAUCUUUGAACGCACAUUGCGCCCCUUGGUAUUCCGAGGGGCAUGCCUGUUCGAGCGUCAUUUCAACCCUCAAGCUCUGCUUGGGAUUGGGCCCCGUCCUCCACGGACGCGCCUUAAAGACCUCGGCGGUGGCGUCUUGCCUCAAGCGUAGUAGAAAACACCUCGCUUUGGAGCGCACGGCGUCGCCCGCCGGACGAACCUUUGAAUUAUUUCUCAAGGUUGACCUCGGAUCAGGUAGGGAUACCCGCUGAACUUAAGCAUAUCAAUAAGCACCUCGGAUCAGUAGNA